CGCACGUGCUACGUGUCACCUACACAGUACCAAGGAGCUAAAUAUAACAAGGAGAGUGAGCGGUUUUGGCUGUGUGCUGUUCGCCUCAAGGACGCCGUCGAUGGACCAUAAUCGGCUGAAACGGCUGUGCAGACCCGAACCCAGAGACAAUAGAACACUAAUCUGUUCUAGGC
Priapulus caudatus is the source of this 173-nucleotide long non-coding RNA. RefSeq lists it as uncharacterized. The record is from RefSeq and is a predicted model, not a curated record. NCBI's taxonomy places the organism in Eukaryota, Metazoa, Priapulida, Priapulimorpha, Priapulimorphida, Priapulidae. The transcript is spliced from 3 exons.